GACGAACGCUGGCGGCGUGCUUAACACAUGCAAGUCGAACGGUAAGGCCCUUCGGGGUACACGAGUGGCGAACGGGUGAGUAACACGUGGGUGAUCUGCCCUGCACUUCGGGAUAAGCCUGGGAAACUGGGUCUAAUACCGGAUAUUCACUUCUCAUUGCAUGGUGGGUGGUGGAAAGUUUUUUCGGUGGGGGAUGGGCCCGCGGCCUAUCAGCUUGUUGGUGGGGUGAUGGCCUACCAAGGCGACGACGGGUAGCCGGCCUGAGAGGGCGACCGGCCACACUGGGACUGAGACACGGCCCAGACUCCUACGGGAGGCAGCAGUGGGGAAUAUUGCGCAAUGGGCGGAAGCCUGACGCAGCGACGCCGCGUGGGGGAUGACGGCCUUCGGGUUGUAAACCGCUUUCAGCAGGGACGAAAUUGACGGUACCUGCAGAAGAAGCCCCGGCCAACUACGUGCCAGCCGCCGCAGUAA
Molecule: ribosomal RNA, 474 nt
Filed under: uncultured bacterium
Lineage: Bacteria
Description: partial 16S ribosomal RNA
Rfam family: Bacterial small subunit ribosomal RNA
Source: RNAcentral